AGUGAACGCUGGCGGCGUGCUUAACACAUGCAAGUCGAACGAGAACGGAUUAUAGCUUGCUAUAAUUGUCAGCUAAGUGGCGCACGGGUGAGUAAUGUAUAGAUAACCUGCCCUCUAGAAAGGAAUAACAGUUGGAAACGACUGCUAAUGCCCUAUAUGCCUUUAAUACAUAAGUAUGCAAGGGAAACGCUUUAGUGCUAGAGGAUGGGUCUGUAUGGUAUCAGCUAGUUGGUGAGGUAAUGGCUCACCAAGGCUAUGACGCCUAACUGGUUUGAGAGGAUGAUCAGUCACACUGGAACUGAGACACGGUCCAGACUCCUACGGGAGGCAGCAGUGGGGAAUAUUGCACAAUGGACGAAAGUCUGAUGCAGCAACGCCGCGUGGAGGAUGACACAUUUCGGUGCGUAAACUCCUUUUAUAUAGGAAGAUAAUGACGGUACUAUAUGAAUAAGCACCGGCUAACUCCGUGCCAGCAGCCGCCGUAA
Molecule: ribosomal RNA, 485 nt
Filed under: uncultured bacterium
Lineage: Bacteria
Description: partial 16S ribosomal RNA
Rfam family: Bacterial small subunit ribosomal RNA
Source: RNAcentral